CGGGGAAUUUUGGACAAUGGGCGAAAGCCUGAUCCAGCAAUGCCGCGUGUGUGAAGAAGGCCUUCGGGUUGUAAAGCACUUUUGUCCGGAAAGAAAUCCUUGGCUCUAAUACAGUCGGGGGAUGACGGUACCGGAAGAAUAAGCACCGGCUAACUACGUGCCAGCAGCCGCGGUAAUACGUAGGGUGCAAGCGUUAAUCGGAAUUACUGGGCGUAAAGCGUGCGCAGGCGGUUUGCUAAGACCGAUGUGAAAUCCCCGGGCUCAACCUGGGAACUGCAUUGGUGACUGGCAGGCUAGAGUAUGGCAGAGGGGGGUAGAAUUCCACGUGUAGCAGUGAAAUGCGUAGAGAUGUGGAGGAAUACCGAUGGCGAAGGCAGCCCCCCUGGGGCCAAUACUGACGCUCAUGCACGAAAGCGUGGGGAGCAAACAGGAUUAGAUACCCUGGUAGUCCACGCCCUAAACGAUGUCAACUAGUUGUUGGGGAUUCAUUUCCUUAGUAACGUAGCUAACGCGUGAAGUUGACCGCCUGGGGAGUACGGUCGCAAGAUUAAAACUUAAAUGAAUUGACGGGGU
This 573-nucleotide ribosomal RNA is filed under the name uncultured bacterium. RNAcentral's name for it is "partial 16S ribosomal RNA". It matches the Rfam family "Bacterial small subunit ribosomal RNA", at positions 355 to 919 of the family's 1533-position model. The record is from RNAcentral.